GGGUUGUGAGGUUAAGCGACUAAGCGUACACGGUGGAUGCCCUGGCAGUCAGAGGCGAUGAAGGACGUGCUAAUCUGCGAUAAGCGCCGGUAAGGUGAUAUGAACCGUUAUAACCGGCGAUUUCCGAAUGGGGAAACCCAGUGUGACUCGUCACACUAUCAUUAACUGAAUCCAUAGGUUAAUGAGGCGAACCGGGGGAACUGAAACAUCUAAGUACCCCGAGGAAAAGAAAUCAACCGAGAUUCCCCCAGUAGCGGCGAGCGAACGGGGAGGAGCCCAGAGCCUGAAUCAGCA
RNAcentral lists this ribosomal RNA (294 nucleotides) under Salmonella enterica. Its description in RNAcentral is "partial 23S ribosomal RNA". It matches the Rfam family "Bacterial large subunit ribosomal RNA", at positions 1 to 286 of the family's 2925-position model. The record is from RNAcentral. Lineage: Bacteria; Pseudomonadati; Pseudomonadota; Gammaproteobacteria; Enterobacterales; Enterobacteriaceae. RNAcentral also lists the same sequence under 2 other names.